UCCCUUGUAGCUUAGUUGGUAAAGAAUCUGCCUGCAGUGCAGGAGAUCCGGGUUCGAUCCCUGGGUUGAGAA
RNAcentral lists this transfer RNA (72 nucleotides) under Ovis aries (sheep). It matches the Rfam family "tRNA". Rfam says of the family: Transfer RNA (tRNA) molecules are approximately 80 nucleotides in length. Their secondary structure includes four short double-helical elements and three loops (D, anti-codon, and T loops). Lineage: Eukaryota; Metazoa; Chordata; Mammalia; Artiodactyla; Bovidae. The record is from Rfam by way of RNAcentral.